UACGUAGGGUGCAAGCGUUGUCCGGAAUUAUUGGGCGUAAAGAGCUCGUAGGCGGUUUGUCGCGUCUGCUGUGAAAAUCCAGGGCUUAACCCUGGACCUGCAGUGGGUACGGGCAGACUAGAGUGCGGUAGGGGAGAUCGGAAUUCCUGGUGUAGCGGUGAAAUGCGCAGAUAUCAGGAGGAACACCAAUGGCGAAGGCAGCACUCUGGGACGUGACUGACGCUGAGACGCGAAAGCGUGGGGAGCAAACAGG
Molecule: ribosomal RNA, 253 nt
Filed under: uncultured bacterium
Lineage: Bacteria
Description: partial 16S ribosomal RNA
Rfam family: Bacterial small subunit ribosomal RNA
Source: RNAcentral